UUUUAAGUUUUAACUAUAUUUAAGUACUACAUAAAUAUGGAUAUAAAAAAUACCACAUCUCCAUUCAAAUUUGUCACUAAUUUAAGUGAUCUACAUCUAGACUCGUGAUUGAUGUAAGCAGAUGUCGAUCUAUAUAUUAAUUCAUAACAGUAAAGAAGGAUGCAUAUUUAAUAUACGUCAAGGUAUGUUUAUGUUAUGGUAAAAGAACAACACUAAUGCACGUUUCUUAUUACAUAACACAUUCUUUAGCCAACUAUUACUAGCGUAUUAUUUGUCUAAUCAUCUUGAAAUACGAAUCAACGUAAAGGAAAAAAGAAUACCCACAUUUGUCUAUCUUAGCAUCUAUUAAAGAAGUUUUACAUUUAUUUAUAAACCCUACACUAGACAAUUCGGAUGGAAGUUUAGAGAUAUAUGACUUGUACAAGC
This 426-nucleotide long non-coding RNA is filed under the name Helianthus annuus (common sunflower). Its description in RNAcentral is "sRNA HanXRQr2_Chr17g0826641". The record is from RNAcentral. Lineage: Eukaryota; Viridiplantae; Streptophyta; Magnoliopsida; Asterales; Asteraceae.